RNAcentral lists this ribosomal RNA (439 nucleotides) under Lautropia sp. oral taxon A94. RNAcentral describes it as "bacterial SSU rRNA". It matches the Rfam family "Bacterial small subunit ribosomal RNA", at positions 30 to 471 of the family's 1533-position model. The record is from RNAcentral. Lineage: Bacteria; Pseudomonadati; Pseudomonadota; Betaproteobacteria; Burkholderiales; Burkholderiaceae.
AUUGAACGCUGGCGGAAUGCUUUACACAUGCAAGUCGAGCGGCAGCGCGGGGCAACCUGGCGGCGAGCGGCGAACGGGUGAGUAAUACAUCGGAACGUGCCCAGACGUGGGGGAUAGCCCGGCGAAAGCCGGAUUAAUACCGCAUGAGAUCUGAGGAUGAAAGCAGGGGACCUUCGGGCCUUGCGCGUUUGGAGCGGCCGAUGGCAGAUUAGGUAGUUGGUGAGGUAAAGGCUUACCAAGCCUGCGAUCUGUAGCUGGUCUGAGAGGAUGAUCAGCCACACUGGGACUGAGACACGGCCCAGACUCCUACGGGAGGCAGCAGUGGGGAAUUUUGGACAAUGGGCGCAAGCCUGAUCCAGCCAUUCCGCGUGCAGGAUGAAGGCCCUCGGGUUGUAAACUGCUUUUGUACAGGACGAAAAGGGCCUGGCUAAUAUCUAGG